RNAcentral lists this ribosomal RNA (253 nucleotides) under uncultured bacterium. RNAcentral's name for it is "partial 16S ribosomal RNA". It matches the Rfam family "Bacterial small subunit ribosomal RNA", at positions 524 to 776 of the family's 1533-position model. The record is from RNAcentral.
UACGGAGGGUGCAAGCGUUAUCCGGAUUCACUGGGUUUAAAGGGUGCGUAGGUGGGCUAGUAAGUCAGUGGUGAAAUCUCCGGGCUUAACCCGGAAACUGCCAUUGAUACUAUUAGUCUUGAAUGUCGUGGAGGUAAGCGGAAUAUGUCAUGUAGCGGUGAAAUGCUUAGAUAUGACAUAGAACACCAAUUGCGAAGGCAGCUGGCUACACGAAUAUUGACACUGAUGCACGAAAGCGUGGGGAUCAAACAGG